AUGUUAAUAGCGUCCUUGCUUGACUAAGGCUCCGGAGGAAGCCACGGCUAACUCUGUGCCAGCAGCCGCGGUAAUACAGAGGCGGCAAGCGUUGUUCGGAAUUAUUGGGCGUAAAGAGCACGUAGGCGGCCGCGUAAGUCGGUUGUGAAAGCCUUCCGCUCAACGGAAGGACGGCAUCCGAUACUGCAUGGCUCGAGUGCGGGAGGGGAGAGUGGAACUUCUGGUGGAGCGGUGAAAUGCGUAGAUAUCAGAAGGAACACCGGCGGCGAAGGCGACUCUCUGGUCCGUAACUGACGCUGAGUGUGCGAAAGCUAGGGGAGCAAACGGGAUUAGAUACCCCGGUAGUCCUAGCCGUAAACGAUGGGCACUAGGUAGAGGGA
This 380-nucleotide ribosomal RNA is filed under the name uncultured Candidatus Brocadia sp. RNAcentral's name for it is "bacterial SSU rRNA". It matches the Rfam family "Bacterial small subunit ribosomal RNA", at positions 450 to 828 of the family's 1533-position model. The record is from RNAcentral. Lineage: Bacteria; Pseudomonadati; Planctomycetota; Candidatus Brocadiia; Candidatus Brocadiales; Candidatus Brocadiaceae.